Molecule: unclassified non-coding RNA, 305 nt
Filed under: plant metagenome
Description: partial contains 5.8S ribosomal RNA, internal transcribed spacer 2, and large subunit ribosomal RNA
Rfam family: 5.8S ribosomal RNA (bases 1-105)
Source: RNAcentral
GAAAUGCGAUAAGUAAUGUGAAUUGCAGAAUUCAGUGAAUCAUCGAAUCUUUGAACGCACAUUGCGCCCGCCAGUAUUCUGGCGGGCAUGCCUGUUCGAGCGUCAUUUCAACCAUCAAGCCCCCGGCUUGUGUUGGGGACCUGCGGCUACCCGCAGGCCCUGAAAAACAGUGGCGGGCUCGCUGUCACACCGAGCGUAGUAGCAUACAUUCUCGCUCAGGGCGUGCUGCGGGUUCCGGCCGUUAAACGACCUUCAUAACCCAAGGUUGACCUCGGAUCAGGUAGGAAGACCCGCUGAACUUAAGC